AUGUGGCCAGGGCUAGAACAUUCCAAUCUGUUACCAUGGAAACCAAAAAUGUAUACAAGCUGGGAACAAAGGCAGGUCCACACCCACUUCCCUGAUGCAAGUCGGGAUGAGAGAGUAAACUGUUCAACAAUUGGCUUAAAUGUUUCUGGAAAGAAUUAUAAAUUAUUCUGAUGAAGGAAAAAAUGAUAAGGCAAGAUCCAUGGCAGAUCUGGACUUCACAACAGUGAGUUUAUCAUGACAGCCAGAGGUUUCUGCAUAAUAUUUCACUCUAACAUUGCUAACUCUCAC
RNAcentral lists this long non-coding RNA (288 nucleotides) under Chinchilla lanigera (long-tailed chinchilla). Its description in RNAcentral is "lncRNA (ENSCLAG00000026013.1)". The record is from RNAcentral. Lineage: Eukaryota; Metazoa; Chordata; Mammalia; Rodentia; Chinchillidae.